RNAcentral lists this ribosomal RNA (882 nucleotides) under uncultured bacterium. RNAcentral's name for it is "bacterial SSU rRNA". It matches the Rfam family "Bacterial small subunit ribosomal RNA", at positions 50 to 923 of the family's 1533-position model. The record is from RNAcentral.
UACACAUGCAAGUCGAACGGCAGCAUGAUCUAGCUUGCUAGAUUGAUGGCGAGUGGCGAACGGAUGAGUAAUACAUCGGAACGUGCCCUGUAGUGGGGGAUAACUAGUCUAAAGAUUAGCUAAUACCGCAUACGACCUGAGGGUGAAAGUGGGGGACCGCAAGGCCUCAUGCUAUAGGAGCGGCCGAUGUCUGAUUAGCUAGUUGGUGGGGUAAAGGCUCUCCAAUUCGACGAUCAGUAGCUGGUCUGAGAGGACGAUCAGCCACACUGGGAGUGAGACACGGCCCAGACUCCUACGGGAGGCAGCAGUGGGGAAUUUUGGACAAUGGGCGAAAGCCUGAUCCAGCAAUGCCGCGUGUGUGAAGAAGGCCUUCGGGUUGUAAAGCACUUUUGUCCGGAAAGAAAUGGCUCUGGUUAAUACCCGGGGUCGAUGACGGUACCGGAAGAAUAAGGACCGGCUAACUACGUGCCAGCAGCCGCGGUAAUACGUAGGGUCCAAGCGUUAAUCGGAAUUACUGGGCGUAAAGCGUGCGCAGGCGGUUGUGCAAGACCGAUGUGAAAUCCCCGAGCUUAACUUGGGAAUUGCAUUGGUGACUGCACGGCUAGAGUGUGUCAGAGGGGGGUAGAAUUCCACGUGUAGCAGUGAAAUGCGUAGAGAUGUGGAGGAAUACCGAUGGCGAAGGCAGCCCCCCGGGAUAACACUGACGCUCAUGCACGAAAGCGUGGGGAGCAAACAGGAUUAGAUACCCUGGUAGUCCACGCCCUAAACGAUGUCAACUAGCUGUUGGGGAUUCAUUUCCUUAGUAACGUAGCUAACGCGUGAAGUUGACCGCCUGGGGAGUACGGUCGCGAGAUUAAAACUCAAAGGAAUGACGGAAGGGCG